Long non-coding RNA from Dromaius novaehollandiae (emu), 4972 nucleotides. RefSeq lists it as uncharacterized. The record is from RefSeq and is a predicted model, not a curated record. Lineage: Eukaryota; Metazoa; Chordata; Aves; Casuariiformes; Dromaiidae. The transcript is spliced from 11 exons.
GGCUUAGACACCAAAAAGAUUCAAUUUGGGGUAGUAGAGAGAAGGGGGAACAAGGACCUCACACAAGAACUGACCUAAACGCCGAGGAGACAGUACUGCCAGUGGAUGACUCUGAAUGAUGUACCAGAAAGACAUUUUAAAUGACCUACAGUAAACUCGCGAAGGACUGGGCAUCCCAGACAUAUUCUCCAACGCAGAACAUUUCCAGGAAUGAGUGUUUCUGACACCCGUUAUUAGAACCAUGUACAAAUAGUUAUCUGAUAGCUGGGCAAGCAGAGAAGCUGUGUGAGGACUGACUGCACUCAGUACCGUGAGUCCCGAGAGCUGGACCGUGUUGUGGACAUGCUCCAUCAUCGUGAUUGACAACUGCGUACGCUUGGGUGAACCUGGCUGGAGCACUCGCAAAUAAGGCGCAAAGAUCUGCAGCACAAGUUCUUCAGAGCUUGUCUGAGAAGAUCCUCAUCUGGAAGGCAAUCAGUUUGCCUGCUUUCUUCGACUGUUUCCUUCUAGCUAACUUGCCACCAAAAUGAAGUUAGACCUACAAAGGAGACAUUAAAUCAGAAAUGUCUCUACACUGAUAGCAAAUGUCUGCAAUAAGGCUAAUGAGCCACAAGACCUGAUUUUUCACCUAUCCUGGUGUUAUGCUGAUGUCAUUUAAUUGAUUUCAAUGGAUUACUCUGGUCAACGUGGUGUCAGGCUCAGAGCAUCUCUGUCUGUUUGCGAAGAGUUGCUACUGCUAUCUAAGCCCUGGGAUAAGGAGCCGAUCUCAGACCCUGUCUGUGCUGAACUGCUAAGAAGAGGAAGAGAAGAGGCAGAAGCCUCCGGCAUUUAUAGAUUGAAAAUCUGCUCACUGCUCUUGUGGCUGGUGGAUGCGGAGCAGAAGGCACCGAGCUGUCCGCUGGAAGGAAGGCGCUGACCUCUGGGUACGGCGUUCCUGUGCUCAGCACCUGCUGGCAGGACUGGUGACCUACACAUGAAAGCCUGACUGAUGGUGGCUGCCAAAUAAACUGGAGAAGAAAUGAAGAAAUGUUUCAUGCUGAGGAUAUAAGACGGGGAGGAGAGUGAAUGAAGCUAGAUUGUGGCCUAGUGUAAAAAUCCUCCUCUUUGUCACUUCUUCUGCUUAUAAAGGCAAUAGUGUUUUCUGCAGGAUCUCAAAUGAAAACUCGGAGAUGAAAAGUCAGAAGGGCAUUUAAGUGACCUUCUGAGCUUGGAUGCUACUGCCGUCUCCUGAAGAAAAAACAGAUGCUUAGUCAGAAUCAUAAAAUUAUAAGACUAAUGAUACUCUCCUUUAACCUGGGCGCUUCCACUGGAAGAGGAGCAGGACACUCGACAUCUUCCUGUCUGUCCCUGGAAACUCUGCGGAGUUGGAGGCAGUAUGGUGGAAACCUUGGUUAGACUCUUGUAUGAGUGGGAAUGUCUGUGAGUUGGAAAAAUAUUCAGAAGACCUCUGGAAGCUGCAUAUUUGGAUUUAAACAUGACCCUGCUGUGUUUAGUGUCAGGGCUGAAAAGUGACCCUGGUAUGAACAGAAAGUGAAGCAGAAAACUACAGUUUGACUUCUCCAACUCGGCAAUGGGUGAAACCAACCAAGACUCUCAAUGGAAAAGAGCUUAAUGGAGAGGAACAUAGGAGACUUAGUAGGAAGUAUGCACCAGAGUGCUCUGCUCCUUCACCACAGACUCUUAGAAGAUUGUUUGCUUCUCUCAUCCCUAAAAAUAAAGGUGGUGAUCUUUUAUCUCGCUUCUUAGCUAACCUGUCACGAAAGGCCACCUCAACAUUUGAGAAGUACUGAGCUUAUUUUAAAAGCAUGAAGUCUUGCAAAGGAUUACAUUGGAAGAAGGGCAACUGGGCUGGAGGGCAGGUGGGCUCUGAGGAGCGUUAACAGCUGGAAGGAGAAGACAGGGAAGGAGAAGGCUCCCCCACCUGCUAAAGGGCUGGGUCCCGAGGACUGGUCCUGUGCAAAUGAUCAGAGCUCCCGAGUACUGGCAUUUACACUGUGCUUCAAGUGAGACCAAAGGGUGGAAAUCUGGCUAUCUGAGUUAUUUUUGGAUUUUUAUUAUGUUCAGGAAUUAAUUUGGAUGACAACAAUGGUGUUUUUAGUGCAACAAGUAGAAUUAAAAAAAGCAGUCUGGCAGAAGAUCUGAGAAGCAGAAGAUGAAAAUAAAUAAAAUGGAGCAGCAAAGAAUGCAGAAAGAAAGAGAAAGUGUUCAAAGGCAUAUAAAUGUGAUGAGGGCUGGAGCCAAAUUCGUGUACAAACAACAAAGGAAGGAAGAGCUUAGUGAGUCCCCCCAAAAUCCUGCUCAUGAAGAGAAGCGGGUCGGUGUUUCCAGAACAGAAGUUAAACACUGAGGUCUCAGUUUGGGAGAAUUUCUCUACAGGGCAGAGCUAAGACAGUUGUCUAACUGCUGCAGAAGCUGAAGUGAUUUUGUAUGUUCCUGUGCUUUCCUGAAUCUGAAUCCUGAAGGCUGUUCACUCUGAAGAACUGCGUAGCAAUCUCAUUCGGCAGUAUCGGUGAUGGGAGGUAGGAGGUUGCAGGCUGGAGCUCAGCACUGGAGUGUGCUGCUGCUGCUUGCAUUGAAAUUCCUUGUGCUGGGCCAACCUGCGCACCGUCCCGAGCCACCUCCUCUCCCUCUGCGUGGCAGAAAUGCUAUCGCCUGUCUUGCAAAUAACGGAGAUCCUCACAAGAAGAAGAGGUGCUUCAGGUGCAAAGUGUACCUACACACAUUUAAAAUACUACAAUUAUAAUAGAUUUGUCCAGGACCUGAGGUCAGGUUUCAGUUUUUCUUGCCAGGUCCUGGUGACUUCAUAAUAGUGAGCUUUUUUGUAUUUGAAUUGCUCCAUCAGUGGUGUCAAUAAUUAAUCAAUAAUAACUAGUAAUAAACUAUCAUACUAAUAGUGAUGCUGUCAGUGUCAAUGACAUCAGUAAGUACAAAAUCUGCUCCUCAAAGGCUGGUUGCACAGAUAAAGGGAGCGCAGGUUUUAUAAGUCCGUGUUCUAAAAUAAGGUUAUUCUGUUUUACUGGUUUAGGAUUUUUAAUUUGCAAAUUUGGUUUCCAAAUAUUUUAAAUGUCACCUUUAACUAUUAUCAGAUUCAUCUGUAGAAAUUUUUGCUGGUACACAUAGGAUGGUUUUCAUUUUCGAAGCUGCAGAGCAUUUCUGGCUCCUGCUGAAGCCGGUUGGAAUUGUGGGCAUGCAGGAACUUUAGGAAUGAAUUGUUAGUUGUUGUUAUUAAUUUAUUUGGGAAACACAAACAGUAUGACUCACUAUUAACUCAUGUCUUGAAAAAUGCUGUGCUCUUUCUUGACAACAAGCUUAGUACUGGAAAGUGUGGCCUUCCAAUGUUGUAGAAUUUGAGCAAUAGUAUUGUAAAUGGGGACUUAUUUCACUAAUUUGCAAAGAUGUGAACAAUUGGUAGUAUGCAACAGAGACUAAACCACAAAAGUUCAAAAUCAUCUACUUUGUGACAAAACCUCCAGAAUAUGUCUGGGUGACAUAGGACAUGCAUAAAUAUGAUGUCACCAGCUUAAAAGCAUGUCUUCCUGAGGUUUUUGCAUUGGUUCCUGACCUGGCGUUUUAAUUUGAUGUCAACUAUUUGAUCGUUAUAUCCUGUUUCCUUCAAAAUCUUUGGCUAAUUUACGUUCUUUUGCUGUAAUUUCCAUUUUCAAAUUUUUGAUAAGUGUCAGCCAAUGCCUUUUCAGACAUUUCCUCUGUAUAUAAUCCAGAGAGCUUCUUAAUCAUAAGUCAUAUGUGCAGCAAUAUGGUUUUAUGAUUAUUCAUGUCUUUCUAAAAGCCAAAGCCAAAUCUUAAUUUGAGAGCACAAUAGUUGAGUCUUCGAAAAAAGAGAAAGAAUAGUAAGUCAUUUUGGACUCAACAGUUUCCUUAGCAGCCUUUCAUAAUAAGGGGCUCUGUAAAAUACUUCUCACUCUCCGAGUCUGUCACCUGCGUGUUGUUGGAUGUGCCCUUUUGCUCUUGUGACAGUCUUUGCUUAAGCAAGCUCUGUACUGGAAUCACAGGGGACUGUUAUAAAAAGCUAGCGAUCUGCAUAGGUGAUCUUCUUGACUCCUCUUUGAUGCCUUUCCCUUUCGGAAAGGCAGCUCUUCCUUUGGGAGAGACCUGCAUGUGACAGAGUCCCCACAGUUUAUGGUGUCUUCUUUGCAGGUGGCAACGUUCCCAGUACCUAUCAGCGCUGAGUGCCGUAAGCGCCAAAUUUCGCAUCUAUCUCCUUAGCGAGAAUUAUAAACAGGAAUCAAAACCAGUUGCGUGAACGUGUUCUGUAAGUAAGCUGAAAAGAAAUGCCUCCUGCCUGUAUGUACUGUAACUCCUGUGUCUAGGUGCUUGCAUUGAUACGUUCUGUUUGCUGGUUAUAAAUCUGAAUUGCUGUGUCUGAAGAUGUUUACAACUAGAUCAUCCAGUAUACAACUAUUUAGAAAGAGAGAGAGAGAGAGAUCAUCUAGCACAGGAAAUACUUUCUUGGAAUGAAGAAAAAAACUGGAGAAAUGGACUGAAAAGGCAUUACAUUUUGCACUGUUAAAUGUUCUAAAAAUAAACUGGAAACAUAAAAGUAUCAGAUACAUACUUUUUUUUCUUUUCCUCUCUUCUCCUUCUCCUCAGACAUGUGUACUCAUAAAAUUUAAUGGAGUGGAAUUGCCUGAAAGAAGCGGACCAUUUUUAAUAUACCUUUCUGUGGCUCCUUGGUACAUAUGUGAACAAUUUUAACAAAAAAAAAAUGUUGAUUCGCAGUGAUUCUUAGACGUCUUGUGGUUGAUCAUCUGUACAGGACAGAUGGAUUCGGUCACUGUAAGCCAAAUAAAUAAAUUAGCACUAUCUUUGAAAUGUAUAGCCGCACUUGGCAUUUGCAGUUACCGUACACCCUCCCCUCAGUUCAGAUGCCUUCACCUAUACUGCUGAACUGGCCUAACUUUAUAUUCUGUUUGGCCUUGAGUUAGAACAGAGGACCACCUGCAUGAAAGAGAUG